RNAcentral lists this ribosomal RNA (465 nucleotides) under uncultured Klebsiella sp. RNAcentral's name for it is "bacterial SSU rRNA". It matches the Rfam family "Bacterial small subunit ribosomal RNA", at positions 338 to 795 of the family's 1533-position model. The record is from RNAcentral. Lineage: Bacteria; Pseudomonadati; Pseudomonadota; Gammaproteobacteria; Enterobacterales; Enterobacteriaceae.
CCUACGGGGGGCUGCAGUGGGGAAUAUUGCACAAUGGGCGCAAGCCUGAUGCAGCCAUGCCGCGUGUGUGAAGAAGGCCUUCGGGUUGUAAAGCACUUUCAGCGGGGAGGAAGGCGGUGAGGUUAAUAACCUCAUCGAUUGACGUUACCCGCAGAAGAAGCACCGGCUAACUCCGUGCCAGCAGCCGCGGUAAUACGGAGGGUGCAAGCGUUAAUCGGAAUUACUGGGCGUAAAGCGCACGCAGGCGGUCUGUCAAGUCGGAUGUGAAAUCCCCGGGCUCAACCUGGGAACUGCAUUCGAAACUGGCGGGCUAGAGUCUUGUAGAGGGGGGUAGAAUUCCAGGUGUAGCGGUGAAAUGCGUAGAGAUCUGGAGGAAUACCGGUGGCGAAGGCGGCCCCCUGGACAAAGACUGACGCUCAGGUGCGAAAGCGUGGGGAGCAAACAGGAUUAGAUACCCGAGUAGUC